UUCCUGAUGUUGAGUCAGAAUCUCCUUCCUUGUAAACUGAAUCCAUGGGUUCGAGCCCUACCCUCCAGAGCAGGAGAAAACUAGCUUGCUUCAUCUUCCAUAUGACAGCCCUUUAGAUAUUUGAAGAUGGCUCUCAUAUCUCCUCUCAGUCUCCUCUUUUCCAGGCUAAACAUACCCAGCUCCUCCAACCAUUCCUCAUUGUGGGAAUGU
This is a non-coding RNA of Podarcis lilfordi (Lilford's wall lizard), 210 nucleotides long. Lineage: Eukaryota; Metazoa; Chordata; Lepidosauria; Squamata; Lacertidae. The record is from the annotation of a GenBank genome assembly.